UUAUUGUGUGUGUCGACCCUGUGUGUACAGCAGCAGGUGCUGGAGCGCGGGUAAAACACUUCUGGGUUUUGGAAGCCUUACAGAACAUUUUUACCUGCCGUGGAAUUUUCGUGUGUGUCAGAAUAAAUAACCAUAUAGGGCAGCCUUGCACAGGGCCUUGCAAGGAAUGGAGUUUUUCCCGACGUAUAAACGCCCUGUACUUUGAUAGCAUGGCCCUGUUGGUACGUUGGUGAUCAUGCGUUGAUCCAUCGCACACUUAGGCAACGGAAUAUGACGAUGGUUCCAUCAUCCUGCACACACUUGGAUAGGAGUUAGGUCACAAAAUGAUCACAAUGAAGGAGCCAGACAGGAUGAUGAUAUGAGUGUUGACUCUAUUGCUCAACCAGUGCCACUCAAGACAUCCCCUACUGAAGGGGAUGAUGCUCAGAUGACUUCCAUCCCGGUGCCACAUGACAUGGGCCCUGGUCGCUUGAGCCUUAUCCUGCCCAAGCUCAUCUACGCCAUCGACUAACUUCCGGGGCGUCCACUGGAGGUUUAAAUGUUAUUCCUGUCACGGAAUGCUGACCUGCCAAUAGGCAUAGCCUUGCAACAUAGGAAAUCAAGGCAGUGUUCAUAAGGGGCGUCGUAAUUGUCCGAUCCGGCAGGAAGCGGUGCUUUGGUGUGGAUUUCCUCCGAACGGAUUUCAAGACAAUGUGUCGAAGACAUUACCACUAGUAGUACCACUGAACGGUUACGUGUCUGGUUUUGUUCGGCAGGAGACCGUAUUGCGGAGGUUUUGCCGCAGAUGUGCAACAACGAACGUUGCAAGUGGUGGAAGCGCACUGGCACGUGCUAGCAUGCGUCCCAUCGCGUAAAUCUUGCUUGCGGCUUCGCGUGCACUGGUCUGCUGGUCCGCCGCAUGCAGGGGGCGUGCUCUGAUUUCGCUCUGUUGUCGUGGCGACAGUGUCCGUAAUGAAGACAUGGCUGCACAGGAUCUGCGUUGGAUACAUAACACUGCUGAUGCAGUCCGGGCUUGUCUCCUUACAGGUUAUUGAUCAAUAACGAUGAGAAGUAUGUGGGUUCUGAAUAGUGUUAGCACGCACUCGCGCGGGUGUUUAUUUGACGCCUGCCUUGUCCUUACUGGUUAAUGCGGGUAAUGAUGUAAGGUUCCGCCUACAUGCACACUUGACGCUGCGUUCUACUUCCGAACGGAACCUGUUCCCAGCUGUAACGCUAUUGAGCAUGAAUAAACGAUGACCUCGGG
Pollicipes pollicipes is the source of this 1243-nucleotide long non-coding RNA. RefSeq lists it as uncharacterized. NCBI's taxonomy places the organism in Eukaryota, Metazoa, Arthropoda, Thecostraca, Pollicipedomorpha, Pollicipedidae. The record is from RefSeq and is a predicted model, not a curated record. The transcript has 3 exons.